RNAcentral lists this ribosomal RNA (416 nucleotides) under uncultured bacterium. RNAcentral describes it as "bacterial SSU rRNA". It matches the Rfam family "Bacterial small subunit ribosomal RNA", at positions 1001 to 1414 of the family's 1533-position model. The record is from RNAcentral.
CCGAAAGGCAGGAGUGCCUGCAAGGGAGCGCGGAGACAGGUGGUGCAUGGCUGUCGUCAGCUCGUGUCGUGAGAUGUUGGGUUAAGUCCCGCAACGAGCGCAACCCUCACCUCUUGUUGCCAUCAGGUCAUGCUGGGCACUCUAGAGGAACUGCCCCGGUCAACGGGGAGGAAGGCGGGGAUGACGUCAAGUCAUCAUGCCCCUUACGUCCUGGGCUACACACGUGCUACAAUGGCCGGUACAAAGGGAUGCCACACCGCGAGGUAGAGCUAAACCCAAAAAGCCGGUCUAAGUUCGGAUUGGAGUCUGCAACUCGACUCCAUGAAGGAGGAAUCGCUGGUAAUCGCGUAUCAGCACGACGCGGUGAAUACGUUCCCGGGCCUUGUACACACCGCCCGUCACACCACGAAAGCCAG